UCGGAGGAAAAGAAACCAACAGGGAUUGCCUUAGUAGCGGCGAGUGAAGCGGCAAAAGCUCAAAUUUGAAAUCUGGCACUUUCAGUGUCCGAGUUGUAAUUUGAAGAAGGUAUCUUUGGGUCUGGCUCUUGUCUAUGUUUCUUGGAACAGAACGUCACAGAGGGUGAGAAUCCCGUGCGAUGAGAUGUCCCAGACCUAUGUAAAGUUCCUUCGAAGAGUCGAGUUGUUUGGGAAUGCAGCUCUAAGUGGGUGGUAAAUUCCAUCUAAAGCUAAAUAUUGGCGAGAGACCGAUAGCGAACAAGUACAGUGAUGGAAAGAUGAAAAGAACUUUGAAAAGAGAGUGAAAAAGUACGUGAAAUUGUUGAAAGGGAAGGGCUUGAGAUCAGACUUGGUAUUUUGUAUGUUACUCUCUCGGGGGUGGCCUCUACAGUUUACCGGGCCAGCAUCAGUUUGAGCGGUAGGAUAAGUGCAAAGAAAUGUGGCACUGCUUCGGUAGUGUGUUAUAGUCUUUGUCGAUACUGCCAGCUUAGACUGAGGACUGCGGCUUCGGCCUAGGAUGUUGGCAUAAUGAUCUUAAGUCGCCCGUCUA
RNAcentral lists this ribosomal RNA (589 nucleotides) under Lodderomyces parapsilosis. Its description in RNAcentral is "Candida parapsilosis partial large subunit ribosomal RNA". It matches the Rfam family "Eukaryotic large subunit ribosomal RNA", at positions 50 to 655 of the family's 3401-position model. The record is from RNAcentral. Lineage: Eukaryota; Fungi; Ascomycota; Pichiomycetes; Serinales; Debaryomycetaceae.